This 253-nucleotide ribosomal RNA is filed under the name uncultured bacterium. RNAcentral describes it as "partial 16S ribosomal RNA". It matches the Rfam family "Bacterial small subunit ribosomal RNA", at positions 524 to 776 of the family's 1533-position model. The record is from RNAcentral.
UACGUAGGCAGCGAGCGUUGUUCGGAGUUACUGGGCGUAAAGGGUGUGUAGGCGGUUCUUUAAGUUUGGUGUGAAAUCUCCCGGCUCAACCGGGAGGGUGCGCCGAAUACUGAGGAACUAGAGUACGGGAGAGGAAAGUGGAAUUCCUGGUGUAGCGGUGAAAUGCGUAGAUAUCAGGAGGAACACCGGUGGUGUAGACGGCUUCCUGGACCGUAACUGACGCUGAGACACGAAAGCGUGGGUAGCAAACAGG